Molecule: ribosomal RNA, 497 nt
Filed under: uncultured bacterium
Lineage: Bacteria
Description: partial 16S ribosomal RNA
Rfam family: Bacterial small subunit ribosomal RNA
Source: RNAcentral
GAUGAACGCUGGCGGCGUGCCUAAUACAUGCAAGUCGAGCGAACGGACGAGAAGCUUGCUUCUCUGAUGUUAGCGGCGGGCGGGUGAGUAACACGUGGAUAACCUACCUAUAAGACUGGGAUAACUUCGGGAAACCGGAGCUAAUACCGGAUAAUAUUUUGAACCGCAUGGUUCAAAAGUGAAAGACGGUCUUGCUGUCACUUAUAGAUGGAUCCGCGCUGCAUUAGCUAGUUGGUAAGGUAACGGCUUACCAAGGCAACGAUGCAUAGCUGACCUGAGAGGGUGAUCGGCCACACUGGAACUGAGACACGGUCCAGACUCCUACGGGAGGCAGCAGUGGGGAAUCUUCCACAAUGGGCGAAAGCCUGACGGAGCCACGCCGCGUGAGUGAUGAAGGUCUUCGGAUCGUAAAACUCUGUUAUUAGGGAAGAACAGAUGUGAGAGUAAAUGUGCAUGUCUUGACGGUACCUACUCAGAAAGCCACGGCUAACUACGUG